GACGAACGCUGGCGGCGUGCCUAAUACAUGCAAGUCGAGCGGACUUAAAAAGCUUGCUUUUUAAGUUAGCGGCGGACGGGUGAGUAACACGUGGGCAACCUGCCUGUAAGACUGGGAUAACUUCGGGAAACCGGAGCUAAUACCGGAUAAUCCUUUUCUACUCAUGUAGAAAAGCUGAAAGACGGUUUACGCUGUCACUUACAGAUGGGCCCGCGGCGCAUUAGCUAGUUGGUGAGGUAACGGCUCACCAAGGCGACGAUGCGUAGCCGACCUGAGAGGGUGAUCGGCCACACUGGGACUGAGACACGGCCCAGACUCCUACGGGAGGCAGCAGUAGGGAAUCUUCCGCAAUGGACGAAAGUCUGACGGAGCAACGCCGCGUGAGUGAUGAAGGUUUUCGGAUCGUAAAACUCUGUUGUUAGGGAAGAACAAGUACGAGAGUAACUGCUCGUACCUUGACGGUACCUAACCAGAAAGCCACGGCUAACUACGU
RNAcentral lists this ribosomal RNA (493 nucleotides) under uncultured bacterium. Its description in RNAcentral is "partial 16S ribosomal RNA". It matches the Rfam family "Bacterial small subunit ribosomal RNA", at positions 28 to 506 of the family's 1533-position model. The record is from RNAcentral.